GGGGGGGGGGCUCGUGCCGAAGGCACGGAAAAUUUUUAAAUUUGAAUCCCGGAAAUGGCCGGCAUUUGCAUCAUUCUGAGACACGCAUAAUCAGAAAACCCAAAAGUGGGCGCCAGAGUAUGUCUGUUCGCAGGUAACGCUGUGAAUAAUAUAGUUAACAACAAAAAUCAUGACUAAAGACACCAAAAACGGAUCAAAAUUGGG
RNAcentral lists this long non-coding RNA (204 nucleotides) under Paramuricea clavata. Lineage: Eukaryota; Metazoa; Cnidaria; Anthozoa; Malacalcyonacea; Plexauridae. The record is from RNAcentral.